This 448-nucleotide ribosomal RNA is filed under the name uncultured delta proteobacterium. RNAcentral's name for it is "bacterial SSU rRNA". It matches the Rfam family "Bacterial small subunit ribosomal RNA", at positions 933 to 1382 of the family's 1533-position model. Lineage: Bacteria; Deltaproteobacteria. The record is from RNAcentral.
UGGAGCAUGUGGUUUAAUUCGACGCAACGCGAAGAACCUUACCUGGGCUAGACAACGGUGGACUCCCCCAGAGAUGGGGAUUCCCUUCGGGGACUGCCGGAUCACGGUGCUGCAUGGCUGUCGUCAGCUCGUGUCGUGAGAUGUUGGGUUAAGUCCCGCAACGAGCGCAACCCCCGCCUUUAGUUGCUACCAUUCAGUUGAGCACUCUAAAGGGACCGCCGGCGUUAAGCCGGAGGAAGUGGGGAUGACGUCAAGUCCUCAUGGCCCUUAUGUCCAGGGCUACACACGUGCUACAAUGGGCGGUACAGAGGGUUGCCAACCCGCGAGGGGGAGCCAAUCCCAGAAAGCCGUCCUCAGUUCAGAUUGGAGUCUGCAACUCGACUCCAUGAAGGUGGAAUCGCUAGUAAUCGCGGAUCAGCACGCCGCGGUGAAUACGUUCCCGGGCCUU